UGAGAGAAGGAGAGAGCCUAG
RNAcentral lists this unclassified non-coding RNA (21 nucleotides) under Mus musculus (house mouse). Its description in RNAcentral is "oocyte_clustered_small_RNA8894". The record is from RNAcentral. Lineage: Eukaryota; Metazoa; Chordata; Mammalia; Rodentia; Muridae.